UACGUAGGGUGCAAGCGUUGUCCGGAAUUAUUGGGCGUAAAGAGCUCGUAGGCGGUCUGUCGCGUCGGCUGUGAAAACCCGGGGCUCAACCCCGGGCCUGCAGUCGAUACGGGCAGACUAGAGUGUGGUAGGGGAGACUGGAAUUCCUGGUGUAGUGGUGGAAUGCGUAGAGCUCCGGAGGAACACCAGUGGCGAAGGCGGCCGCCUGGGCCUUUGCUGACGCUGAGCCGCGAAAGCGUGGGGAGCGAGCCGG
This 253-nucleotide ribosomal RNA is filed under the name uncultured bacterium. RNAcentral describes it as "partial 16S ribosomal RNA". It matches the Rfam family "Bacterial small subunit ribosomal RNA", at positions 524 to 776 of the family's 1533-position model. The record is from RNAcentral.